GUGCCAGCCGCCGCGGUAAUACAGAGGGUGCGAGCGUUAAUCGGAAUUACUGGGCGUAAAGGGUGUGUAGGUGGUUAUAUAAGUUAGAUGUGAAAUCCCCGGGCUCAACCUGGGAACUGCGUUUAAGACUGUAUAACUAGAGUACUGUAGAGGAUAGUGGAAUUUCCAGUGUAGCGGUGAAAUGCGUAGAUAUUGGAAGGAACACCAGUGGCGAAGGCGACUAUCUGGAUAGAUACUGACACUGAGACACGAAAGCGUGGGGAGCAAACAGGAUUAGAUACCCCUGUAGUCC
RNAcentral lists this ribosomal RNA (292 nucleotides) under uncultured bacterium. RNAcentral describes it as "partial 16S ribosomal RNA". It matches the Rfam family "Bacterial small subunit ribosomal RNA", at positions 505 to 796 of the family's 1533-position model. The record is from RNAcentral.